GCGGGGCAACCUGGCGGCGAGCGGCGAACGGGUGAGUAAUGCAUCGGAACAUGUCCAAUUGUGGGGGAUAGCCCGGCGAAAGCCGGAUUAAUACCGCAUGAGCCCGAGAGGGGAAAGUGGGGGACCGCAAGGCCUCACGCGAUUGGGUUGGCCGAUGUCCGAUUAGCUAGUUGGCGGGGUAAAGGCCCACCAAGGCGAUGAUCGGUAGCUGGUCUGAGAGGAUGAUCAGCCACACUGGGACUGAGACACGGCCCAGACUCCUACGGGAGGCAGCAGUGGGGAAUUUUGGACAAUGGGGGAAACCCUGAUCCAGCCAUUCCGCGUGAGUGAAGAAGGCCUUCGGGUUGUAAAGCUCUUUUGUCCGGAACGAAACGGCUACGACUAAUACUCGUGGCUACUGACGGUACCGGAAGAAUAAGCACCGGCUAACUACGUGCCAGCAGCCGCGGUAAUACGUAGGGUGCGAGCGUUAAUCGGAAUUACUGGGCGUAAAGCGUGCGCAGGCGGUUUUGCAAGCCAGAUGUGAAAUCCCCGGGCUCAACCUGGGAAUGGCAUUUGGGACUGCAAGGCUGGAGUGUGGCAGAGGAGACUGGAAUUCCUGGUGUAGCAGUGAAAUGCGUAGAUAUCAGGAGGAAUACCGAUGGCGAAGGCAGGUCUCUGGGCUGACACUGACGCUCAUGCACGAAAGCGUGGGGAGCAAACAGGAUUAGAUACCCUGGUAGUCCACGCCCUAAACGAUGUCGACUGGUUGUUGGGGGUUUGACACUCUCAGUAACGAAGCUAACGCGUGAAGUCGACC
Molecule: ribosomal RNA, 799 nt
Filed under: uncultured beta proteobacterium
Lineage: Bacteria; Pseudomonadati; Pseudomonadota; Betaproteobacteria
Description: bacterial SSU rRNA
Rfam family: Bacterial small subunit ribosomal RNA
Source: RNAcentral